Panthera uncia (snow leopard) is the source of this 418-nucleotide long non-coding RNA. RefSeq lists it as uncharacterized. The transcript is spliced from 2 exons. The record is from RefSeq and is a predicted model, not a curated record. NCBI's taxonomy places the organism in Eukaryota, Metazoa, Chordata, Mammalia, Carnivora, Felidae.
GUAACGAGAGUAAAGUGUUUCUGCAGAUCUCCAAUGUGAUCCUCACAUAUACCAUGAGGUCCUUCCAAUCCAGACACCAAAACGCCAGGGGGGAGCCAGGGCCAGGCCGGAGGCGUCCCUGUGCAGAGGCCCACAUGAAUGAGCUUGGAAGCUGAUCUGAAGAGGCCUGACACCAGCCUGGCGAGCCCUGAGGUGACCACAGCCCUGGCCAACCCUCAAUUAAAGUUUCAUAAGAUCCUGGGCAGAACCACCUGGGCAAGCUACUCCUGGAUUCCUGACCCCAAAACCUGGGAGGUCAUAGAGUUUGUUUUUACAGCCACUGGAAUUUAGGAAAAUGUGUUAUGUAUGCAGCAACAACUAACAAAAUUGGCCAUUUUUUACUGUGAAAGUAAAAGAUAUUAUGUUAUUGUCUGCAAAA